Molecule: ribosomal RNA, 253 nt
Filed under: uncultured bacterium
Lineage: Bacteria
Description: partial 16S ribosomal RNA
Rfam family: Bacterial small subunit ribosomal RNA
Source: RNAcentral
UACGUAGGGGGCAAGCGUUGUCCGGAUUUAUUGGGCGUAAAGAGCGUGUAGGCGGCCAGAUAGGUCCGUUGUGAAAACUCGAGGCUCAACCUCGAGACGCCGAUGGAAACCAUUUGGCUAGAGUCCGGAAGAGGAGAGUGGAAUUCCUGGUGUAGCGGUGAAAUGCGCAGAUAUCAGGAGGAACACCGAUGGCGAAGGCAGAUCUCUGGGCCUUACCUGACGCUGAGGAGCGAAAGCUGGGGGAGCGAACAGG